RNAcentral lists this ribosomal RNA (460 nucleotides) under uncultured bacterium. RNAcentral describes it as "partial 16S ribosomal RNA". It matches the Rfam family "Bacterial small subunit ribosomal RNA", at positions 338 to 795 of the family's 1533-position model. The record is from RNAcentral.
CCUACGGGGCGCAGCAGUGAGGAAUAUUGGUCAAUGGACGAGAGUCUGAACCAGCCAAGUAGCGUGAAGGAUGACUGCCCUAUGGGUUGUAAACUUCUUUUAUAUGGGAAUAAAAUGUUCCACGUGUGGGAUUUUGUAUGUACCAUAUGAAUAAGGAUCGGCUAACUCCGUGCCAGCAGCCGCGGUAAUACGGAGGAUCCGAGCGUUAUCCGGAUUUAUUGGGUUUAAAGGGAGCGUAGGUGGAUUGUUAAGUCAGUUGUGAAAGUUUGCGGCUCAACCGUAAAAUUGCAGUUGAAACUGGCAGUCUUGAGUACAGUAGAGGUGGGCGGAAUUCGUGGUGUAGCGGUGAAAUGCUUAGAUAUCACGAAGAACUCCGAUUGCGAAGGCAGUUCACUGGACUGCAACUGACACUGAUGCUCGAAAGUGUGGGUAUCAAACAGGAUUAGAUACCCGGGUAGUC